Molecule: ribosomal RNA, 503 nt
Filed under: uncultured bacterium
Lineage: Bacteria
Description: partial 16S ribosomal RNA
Rfam family: Bacterial small subunit ribosomal RNA
Source: RNAcentral
ACUGAACGCUGGCGGCAGGCUUAACACAUGCAAGUCGAGCGGGGUGAUGGUGCUUGCACUAUCACUUAGCGGCGGACGGGUGAGUAAUGCUUAGGAAUCUGCCUAUUAGUGGGGGACAACAUCUCGAAAGGGAUGCUAAUACCGCAUACGUCCUACGGGAGAAAGCAGGGGAUCACUUGUGACCUUGCGCUAAUAGAUGAGCCUAAGUCGGAUUAGCUAGUUGGUGGGGUAAAGGCCUACCCAGGCGACGAUCUGUAGCGGGUCUGAGAGGAUGAUCCGGCACACUGGGACUGAGACACGGCCCAGACUCCUACGGGAGGCAGCAGUGGGGAAUAUUGGACAAUGGGGGGAACCCUGAUCCAGCCAUGCCGCGUGUGUGAAGAAGGCCUUAUGGUUGUAAAGCACUUUAAGCGAGGAGGAGGCUCUUUUGGUUAAUACCCAAGAUGAGUGGACGUUACUCGCAGAAUAAGCACCGGCUAACUCUGUGCCAGCAGCCGCAGUAA